AAGCACUUGUACUGUGAACUGCGAAUGGCUCAUUAAAUCAGUUAUCGUUUAUUUGAUAGUACCUUACUACAUGGAUACCUGUGGUAAUUCUAGAGCUAAUACAUGCUAAAAACCCCGACUUCAGGAAGGGGUGUAUUUAUUAGAUAAAAAACCAACGCCCUUCGGGGCUCCUUGGUGAAUCAUAAUAACUUAACGAAUCGCAUGGCCUUGCGCCGGCGAUGGUUCAUUCAAAUUUCUGCCCUAUCAACUUUCGAUGGUAGGAUAGUGGCCUACCAUGGUGGCAACGGGUAACGGGGAAUUAGGGUUCGAUUCCGGAGAGGGAGCCUGAGAAACGGCUACCACAUCCAAGGAAGGCAGCAGGCGCGCAAAUUACCCAAUCCCGAUACGGGGAGGUAGUGACAAUAAAUACUGAUACGGGGCUCUUUUGGGUCUCGUAAUUGGAAUGAGAACAAUUUAAAUCCCUUAACGAGGAACAAUUGGAGGGCAAGUCUGGUGCCAGCAGCCGCGGUAAUUCCAGCUCCAAUAGCGUAUAUUAAAGUUGUUGCAGUUAAAAAGCUCGUAGUUGAACCUUGGGUCUGGCUGGCCGGUCCGCCUCACCGCGAGUACUGGUCCGGCUGGACCUUUCCUUCUGGGGAACCUCAUGGCCUUCACUGGCUGUGGGGGGAACCAGGACUUUUACUGUGAAAAAAUUAGAGUGUUCAAAGCAGGCCUUUGCUCGAAUACAUUAGCAUGGAAUAAUAGAAUAGGACGUGUGGUUCUAUUUUGUUGGUUUCUAGGACCGCCGUAAUGAUUAAUAGGGAUAGUCGGGGGCGUCAGUAUUCAGCUGUCAGAGGUGAAAUUCUUGGAUUUGCUGAAGACUAACUACUGCGAAAGCAUUCGCCAAGGAUGUUUUCAUUAAUCAGGGAACGAAAGUUAGGGGAUCGAAGAACGAUCAGAUACCGUCGUAGGCUUAACCAUAAACUAUGCCGACAAGGGAUCG
RNAcentral lists this ribosomal RNA (979 nucleotides) under Evansstolkia leycettana. RNAcentral's name for it is "SSU rRNA". It matches the Rfam family "Eukaryotic small subunit ribosomal RNA", at positions 67 to 1055 of the family's 1831-position model. Lineage: Eukaryota; Fungi; Ascomycota; Eurotiomycetes; Eurotiales; Aspergillaceae. The record is from RNAcentral.